GACGUAGGGAGCGAGCGUUGUCCGGAUUCAUUGGGCGUAAAGAGCGCGCAGGCGGUUUGGUAAGUCGGAUGUGAAAACCCGGGGCUCAACCCCGGGCGUGCAUCUCGAUACUGCCCGACUAGAGGUAGGUAGGGGAGAUCGGAAUUCCUGGUGUAGCGGUGAAAUGCGCAGAUAUCAGGAGGAACACCGGUGGCGAAGGCGGAUCUCUGGGCCUUACCUGACGCUCAGGCGCGAAAGCUAGGGAAGCGAACAGG
This 254-nucleotide ribosomal RNA is filed under the name uncultured bacterium. RNAcentral's name for it is "partial 16S ribosomal RNA". It matches the Rfam family "Bacterial small subunit ribosomal RNA", at positions 524 to 776 of the family's 1533-position model. The record is from RNAcentral.